CCUACGGGAAGCAGCAGUGGGGAAUAUUGGACAAUGGGCGAAAGCCUGAUCCAGCCAUGCCGCGUGUGUGAAGAAGGCCUUCGGGUUGUAAAGCACUUUCAGUGGGGAAGAAAGCCUUGGGGCUAAUACCCUCGAGGAAGGACAUCACCCACAGAAGAAGCACCGGCUAACUCCGUGCCAGCAGCCGCGGUAAUACGGAGGGUGCGAGCGUUAAUCGGAAUUACUGGGCGUAAAGCGCGCGUAGGCGGUCUGAUAAGCCGGUUGUGAAAGCCCCGGGCUCAACCUGGGAACGGCAUCCGGAACUGUCAGGCUAGAGUGCAGGAGAGGAAGGUAGAAUUCCCGGUGUAGCGGUGAAAUGCGUAGAGAUCGGGAGGAAUACCAGUGGCGAAGGCGGCCUUCUGGACUGACACUGACGCUGAGGUGCGAAAGCGUGGGUAGCAAACAGGAUUAGAUACCCUAGUAGUC
Molecule: ribosomal RNA, 465 nt
Filed under: Vreelandella stevensii
Lineage: Bacteria; Pseudomonadati; Pseudomonadota; Gammaproteobacteria; Oceanospirillales; Halomonadaceae
Description: partial 16S ribosomal RNA
Rfam family: Bacterial small subunit ribosomal RNA
Source: RNAcentral